UGCCAGCCGCCGCGGUAAUACGGAGGGUCCAAGCGUUAUCCGGAUUUAUUGGGUUUAAAGGGUGCGUAGGCGGAAUAAUAAGUCAGUGGUGAAAGCCUGCAGCUUAACUGUAGAAUUGCCAUUGAUACUGUUGUUCUUGAGUAUAGUUGAUGUGAGCGGAAUGCGUCAUGUAGCGGUGAAAUGCGUAGAUAUGACGCAGAACACCAAAAGCGAAGGCAGCUCACAAAACUAUAACUGACGCUGAGGCACGAAAGCGUGGGGAGCGAACAGGAUUAGAUA
RNAcentral lists this ribosomal RNA (279 nucleotides) under uncultured bacterium. RNAcentral's name for it is "partial 16S ribosomal RNA". It matches the Rfam family "Bacterial small subunit ribosomal RNA", at positions 506 to 784 of the family's 1533-position model. The record is from RNAcentral.